GGAGGUGGAGCUUCGGGGCAUAAUAGGUAGCCAAUUAAAUUCUUAAACAUGAUCCUUUAUCUCCUUAACAUGAAGCUACUUUAAGCAAAGCCACAUUCGUUUUUGUUUUGGCUAAUUUGUUUUAUCUAAAUUAUGCUUUGCAGUUGCAUGGUGGUGAAAUUGGUUGGAAGGCAGGCGUAAAGAAAACAGGGACUGCCAAAACCUGUUUUCUGAUUUGUCACAUUGUCCUAUAAUGCAGAAGACUCUCAAAGAGACUUGAGUGGAACUCAACUUCUUCAUGUUCAUAUUUGAUAAAAGUAUCCUGCUACUUAGGAUCACACAAGGCUUUAUAUACUGAACUGGAGUAUCUUCGUUGAAGGUAAAAUGGCCAAUUAUGCAGUUAUUAACAAAAUUUUUGCAAAUAUGGUACUAAAAAAUCUUAAUUAUGCUUCUACUGGUGUUCUUUUAGAUAGUAGUUGUCUGCAUAUUGUAUGAACUGCUUUUAUGCUACUUUAUCAUGGACACUUGGGCCUAUCAGUUUGGUUGUCAUGAUUUCACUUUGUGAUGAGGUUUUGAUGAACAUGGAAAAUUGAAUUCAACGUUAAGUACUCGUGGAAAACCCCCCACCCCACAUCACUCAACAAAUAGUAAAAGAAAAAUAAAAAAGACCUGGAAAAGAAAAAAAAAUUUUAUGCGUACCUUACAGCAUAUUUUCCCGUUACUAUUACAACCACCAAAGCUUAUCUUAAGAAGCUAUAAGACCAUGUAUUUAGGUAUUCCUUGUGCGGUAAACUCUGACACAUAUCAUAUUUUUAACCACGAAAGAGGCAAAUAUAAUGUGCAGAUCAACUAAGAUUUCAAAAAUUACAAUAGUGUGGUUGUUAUGAGUAGCAAAUGAUUGGAGAAAGCACUAUAUUUUCUCUAAUAUUGUACAGUAUUUGUAGAUAACGAUUAAAGCGUGGUCUAUCUUUUAGAUUACAAUCCCUUGUGGUUGUGAUGCCAAUCAAGAUCAUAUUAUUUGAAUAGAUCUUUAUUUGAGUGGCCCAAAUUUUUUGAGCUAUCAUAUGAUAUAAAGUCACUUAAGUAAUGACAAAUCUGUAUUUUGACUUUGGAGAAAAUCCCAUGACCAUGACAUUGAUUGAUUAAUCCAUUGUAGUAUUGCCACACUUGGUUUCUCUUUGUUGAGAAGCAUAAUAGGGAUAUUGGCAACUGAGAUGUGUGAUGUUUCACAUCCUAAACGUCGACCUGAUAUUUUAGAGAGAAUGGAAAAUGUGUUCCUCAUAGGGAUGAGGUAACUAAGUAUAAUGGUUCUUAAAAAUCUUAAUACUUAACCCCAAAAAAUGCAAGGGCAAAAUUGAUACUUGAUAGUGUAUGGAUAGAUGAAAGUAAGAACACAAAUUCUACAAUCAAGUGGAGAAGCUGAACUGCAAAUUGAAGACUAGGAAGUGAACGCUGCUUGGAAAGAAGACUUGCUCACUUUUCCUUCAUGGUGAUGAAAGUUAUCAGGAAAAAAAAAAAUAAUAAUAAUAAAAUAAAAUAAAAAACUUAUUUUAUGUUGAAGCAAAGAAGGACGCCUCCUAACUGAUCAUCAAUUAUUAAUCUAUAAAAAGUCAUCUUUACAUUAAAAUGAUUUAGUAAUAGCUUUGCUCAUCAAAAUAAUUUACUCACAUCUUCGUCAAAAAGAAAAUAUGAGCCCUCAAGCUAGAAAAAUUUAUCACAGAUCGCUUAUAUUUAUCUUGGGGGAAGAAAAACCUUUCAUGGCAUAUUUGGUACAUUGAGCUUAAUGGAAUAAAGGAUAAGCGUCUCUCGCAUGUCUCUUUUUCGUGAUCAUGUUUAGACCUAUCAUUUCGAGGAUGCCAAACAACUUAUCAAAGAAAUGUCUUUUUACUUGUAGCAUAAUCUGACUAAGGACCCCUUUAACUUGGCUCUUGAAAAGCCCAAAACUACUUCUAAGAUUAAGAACCUGCUUUUGAAUCUGUUUGAGUAAUUGUUUAGAAGUGCUUUGUCCGGUAAGAAAAGUUUUUAGGGAAAACUGGCUUAAACUCUUUUACAAAAAGCAAAAACAAAAGUAGAAGCCUACCAAGCAAGCUUUAAAUUGUUUGAUGGAGCACUCUAUGGUAAAGAGAGAAUUUUGGGAUGAAUCUUAGUUUUGUGAAUUUAAGAAAACCUUUUGCAUAUAUUCAACCUUGAUCUUUUCUUCAAUCAAUAGACGAGGAUGUCAUAACCCCCCACCUAGGCACUGGUAGAUUUUUGUUAAACAUAAAAGUUGACCUUUUCUUUUCUUUCUAGUUCCCAAGUUCAUAUUUCUUCUGAGUCCAUGAUGUGACCCUGAAUCCAGUUAUCCAUCAUUCCUCCCCACUUUCCUGUAAACCAAAGAUUGAUGAUACAAAAUUGCAAAAGCAUGAUGUACUUGAAUGAAUGAAUGAGAUUCUACAUGUACAUCUUUAUGUGUAGUAUACAUAUCUAAUAGGAUCAUAACUUGCUUAUCUAAUUGUUGACUUAGCCCACUCCCCUCCCAAUCCAUUUCAAUUUUCUUUAGGUAAAAAAAUAAAAAUAAAAUGUACAAGUAAAAUUUUUUUAUGUAAAAUUUUUUAUUUUUUAAACAUAUUUGCCUGACUUAAUUUAUUUUUUUUAAUUAUUUUUUAUAAAGUCCAGUCCGUUGUUUGUGCUUUCUUGGCAUCCACGUCUAUCACUAUCAUAUGAUACUAACCAUCAAUUAAGAUACAGAAAAUGAUGAGAAAAAGAGAAAAUUAAAUAAUAUAUGUUGAACGUAUUUGACAUUUAGAAAAAAGUUAAGAAAAUGAGUGAAAAUCACCUUCCUCUAACAAGUCCUGCAGGGAAUGAUUGUGCUUGCUGGUUGAUUUUCCUUCUUGCUUAUGGUUUAUAUAAGCAUAUAGGCAUUUAUAUCAAGAAACUGCUGCAUAUCUCUCUGAAGAGCUCAUUUCUUGGUUGAGGGGAAUGAAGCCUGGUCCGAAAUCAUCCAGAUCACACCAUGCAGUUUGCAUAUGAAAGAUUUCGCACCAGACGACACUCCCCUCAACGACUCAUAUCAUAGAAAAAGAGAGAACUCCCGGGUGGUGGUGAAGAUGAUUUAGCCAUGCAUUAUUUUUCAUGGAGUCCUUUAUAUGCACGAGAAUCUCUGUUGAGUCAUGAGAAUCCAUUUUCAAUGCCUCCCCUAGACACUUUUCACACAUAGCGAUGCCACUUAUUGAGAAAAUGAUUGACAUAUAUAAUUUGCAACUUCUUUGGGAAUCUGGUUAUCCAGAUAAGUAUUUCCUUUUUACUUAUCUAUGAGAUGCAACUUUCUCUACGAAUAAACAAUAAUACUCAAGUCAACUAAUGAAAGAAUUCAAAUAAUAAUUAAAGCAAUUCAAAAGAUUAAUAGACAAUGAAGUAAGUUGAAGAUUUCAACGUGUCUUUGUUUGAUGUUGAUAACAAGUACUAGUAGCCAAUUUAAUCUGUUGAUGCUUCCUAAUCAAGAAGUGAUUGUGGUGAUAGCGAGAGUUUAAUUUUAAAACAUAGGUAACUCGGGUUUUUCAAGCACUGAAUUAUCAAUGUGAUUAUGGGUUUCUCAUAUUUUUAUUUUUGCAUCAUAAAAUCAUUGUGCACAUGAGAUUAAAGUGAUUUCGCAUAAUCUUUAUACGAUGAAGAGGAGGCUAAGCCUUUUUUAAGACAUUUGUUUGUGAUUACACGCAGAAGAGCAUAUUUGACUAAUCUUAUAGAUUAAUGAGAUUUGUUGAACCUUGAUAGAUAAAAAUUUAUAUAUGUAAAGUACAAACACAGAUGUGCAUGUUAUGUCUUGAAGGUUGACUUGAUAAAGAGAUGAGGAUGGC
Molecule: long non-coding RNA, 3812 nt
Filed under: Olea europaea (common olive)
Lineage: Eukaryota; Viridiplantae; Streptophyta; Magnoliopsida; Lamiales; Oleaceae
Description: long non-coding RNA (OEUR_LNC006287)
Source: RNAcentral